AGCGAACGCUGGCGGCAGGCCUAACACAUGCAAGUCGAACGGAUCCUUCGGGAUUAGUGGCGGACGGGUGAGUAACACGUGGGAACGUGCCCUUUGGUUCGGAACAACUCAGGGAAACUUGAGCUAAUACCGGAUGUGCCCUUCGGGGGAAAGAUUUAUCGCCAUUGGAGCGGCCCGCGUCUGAUUAGCUAGUUGGUGAGGUAACGGCCCACCAAGGCGACGAUCAGUAGCUGGUCUGGGAGGAUGAUCAGCCACACUGGGACUGAGACACGGCCCAGACUCCUACGGGAGGCAGCAGUGGGGAAUCUUGCGCAACGGGCGAAAGCCUGACGCAGCCAUGCCGCGUGAAUGAUGAAGGUCUUAGGAUUGUAAAAUUCUUUCAGCGGGGACGAUAAUGACGGUACCCGCAGAAGAAGCUCCGGCUAACUUCGUG
This 433-nucleotide ribosomal RNA is filed under the name uncultured bacterium. RNAcentral describes it as "partial 16S ribosomal RNA". It matches the Rfam family "Bacterial small subunit ribosomal RNA", at positions 29 to 507 of the family's 1533-position model. The record is from RNAcentral.